CAAUAGCAUAUAUUAAAGUUGUUGCAGUUAAAAAGCUCGUAGUUGGAUUUCUGGCAUGAUGCGCCUGGCCCGCCGUGAUUACGCGUGUGUGUGCUAGUGCGCGUCUGCCAUCCAUUGGCAGAAUAUGUCUACCCUUAAUUGGGCCGGAUAUGUGAUGUCAAUCUUUUACUUUGAAAAAAUUAGAGUGCUCAAAGCAGGCUUUUACGCCUGAAUAUUCGUGCAUGGAAUAAUAGAAUAGGAAGUCGUUUCUAUUUUGUUGGUUUUCGGAAAUCGACUUAAUGAUUAAUAGGGACAGUCGGGGGCAUUUGUAUUCAAACGACAGAGGUGAAAUUCUUGGACCGUUUGAAGACAAACUACUGCGAAAGCAUUUGCCAAGAAUGUUUUCAUUAAUCAAGAACGAAAGUUAGAGGUUCGAAGACGAUCAGAUACCAU
RNAcentral lists this ribosomal RNA (432 nucleotides) under uncultured eukaryote. RNAcentral's name for it is "bacterial SSU rRNA". It matches the Rfam family "Eukaryotic small subunit ribosomal RNA", at positions 592 to 1018 of the family's 1831-position model. The record is from RNAcentral.